GAUGAAGAACGUAGCGAAAUGCGAUAAGUAAUGUGAAUUGCAGAAUUCAGUGAAUCAUCGAAUCUUUGAACGCACAUUGCGCCCGCCAGUAUUCUGGCGGGCAUGCCUGUUCGAGCGUCAUUUCAACCAUCAAGCCCCCGGCUUGUGUUGGAGACCUGCGGCUGCCGCAGGCCCUGAAAACCAGUGGCGGGCUCGCUAGUCACUCCGAGCGUAGUAAUACAUCUCGCUCAGGGCGUGCUGCGGGUUCCGGCCGUUAAAAAGCCUUAUUUACCCAAGGUUGACCUCGGAUCAGGUAGGAAGACCCGCUGAACUUAAGCAUAUCAAUAAGCGGAGGA
This 335-nucleotide unclassified non-coding RNA is filed under the name soil metagenome. Its description in RNAcentral is "partial contains 5.8S ribosomal RNA, internal transcribed spacer 2, and large subunit ribosomal RNA". The stretch from base 1 to 120 matches the Rfam family "5.8S ribosomal RNA", at positions 35 to 154 of the family's 154-position model. The record is from RNAcentral.